RNAcentral lists this long non-coding RNA (417 nucleotides) under Pan troglodytes (chimpanzee). RNAcentral describes it as "lincRNA". The record is from RNAcentral. Lineage: Eukaryota; Metazoa; Chordata; Mammalia; Primates; Hominidae.
CAAGGAGCGAGUGAAGGUCAAAGCCACACAUGGGGCUGAGGGGCCAGGUGGCCGCCUUAUGAGAUCGAAGGCGGGAAGCUUUGGAACAGGGCAAAAAGGGGAGCCCAGGGUGAGGGGAGAGGGCCGAGCAGCUCGGAUCUCUGAUGGCUGAGUGGCCUGUUCUGGGUCUGACUACCCUACCCUGGGGCCUGACUCUGCCCAGCCCCUCGGAACACUCAACAAACGCUUGUGGAAGGAGCGAACAAAUGACAAGUCACUAAACCUAAAUACAGAGUCUUCAGCUUUGGAGGAGACUGAGGUGCGGACAUGGAAAAGAAGGUCAUUCUCUUGGAGCCACAGCAAUGACCAGGAGAAAUUCAUUUGGCGGUAAAACCACACGAACCCUAUUACAUCACCAAGCCCUCACCGUUUCCAGCA